Molecule: transfer RNA, 76 nt
Filed under: Nitratidesulfovibrio vulgaris str. 'Miyazaki F'
Lineage: Bacteria; Pseudomonadati; Thermodesulfobacteriota; Desulfovibrionia; Desulfovibrionales; Desulfovibrionaceae
Also listed under: 4 other names
Description: tRNA-Thr (CGT) (tRNA-Thr-CGT-1-1)
Rfam family: tRNA
About the family: Transfer RNA (tRNA) molecules are approximately 80 nucleotides in length. Their secondary structure includes four short double-helical elements and three loops (D, anti-codon, and T loops).
Source: RNAcentral
GCCAGCAUAGCUCAGUUGGUAGAGCAGCUGAUUCGUAAUCAGCAGGUCUGGAGUUCAAGUCUCCAUGCUGGCUCCA